CCCCUCAUAGCUCAGUUGGAAGAGCGCGGCAUUGUAAUCCCCUAAGGCUGUAUUGAACAGUUGUAUUCGUUCUGCCGCGGUCACCCGUUCGAUCCGGGUUGAGGGGA
Naganishia friedmannii is the source of this 107-nucleotide non-coding RNA. The record is from the annotation of a GenBank genome assembly. NCBI's taxonomy places the organism in Eukaryota, Fungi, Basidiomycota, Tremellomycetes, Filobasidiales, Filobasidiaceae.